Molecule: long non-coding RNA, 1351 nt
Organism: Microtus ochrogaster (prairie vole)
Lineage: Eukaryota; Metazoa; Chordata; Mammalia; Rodentia; Cricetidae
Exons: 3
Source: RefSeq, a predicted model, not a curated record
CGCUGGGGCGGGAUCCAAGUUCGGCAACCGCCCGGGGGACCCCACUUUCUCCCGCGUUUCUAGCAACCGAGAUAAGGCUCAGAAUGACACCGUCUUGGCACAGGAUCCCCAGAUGCUUUCCAGGGCCUCAUGCUUGCACAGGAGGGAGCUGAAUGGUUUUCAAAGAGAGUCCUGAAGAAAGUGGCGCCUUCAAGAAAACAAAUCACUGGAGUGCUGGCAGAUGAUUAAUGACCAACUUGAGAAUUAAAUCCGGGCUUAAAAGCCUUGAUUUCUAGUGUCGCAACUUCCAUGGUGGAAACCCCUCGGGCCUGUGGAGGACUUUGUCGUUUCGUGACCCCAAUCCCAGCUCUGACAUCCUAACAACCAGGGGUGAUCCAGAGGACUCCUCUCCACGACAGAGUCAAUGAACUCACAUGCAAAACUCCACUUUGCCCGACAGUAACACGGCUCGAGACCCUGUGCUCUCAUGAAGCAAACCAUCAGCUUCUAGGCUCAUCACAAUCGUUCCACAUAAAUGGCUGCUUUUUCUUUUCUUUGAGAAAGUCCUUUACUGCCGACAAUGGGCUGACCUUGCUUCUCUCGCAGUCACAGCCUCCGGGGUUGUGGGGAGAGCACGGGUGUGCAUCAUCGCGUUUCUCUAAGUGACGACAAUCACGCCAACCUGACUGGCAAGAAGAACGUGGGAAAGGCAGGGUCCCUGUGCUGAAUUGACGAUGCUCUAUGAUGGCCUCAUCAGUCCUGUGUGUUACUGCUCAUGCCUCUGUGGACUUUGAAGCCUGCAUGAGAGACAGCAUCCAUCACUUUUGCUCUGUUCGUUCUUGGGCUCUCUCAAUGGAGGUCAAGAUGAGCUGAGCAUGGGACUUUCUGAAUGACUCCCGGGACAGCACCAGCGCCAGAGUCUCAAUUUGCUUCUGGAAGGAUGACUCCACCCCCACCCCAGAAGGGAGAGCCUGCUGCUCAGUCAAGCCCGUCCAUGGCCACAGCACAGCCAUGCUGGAGCUUCUGGCUCAGAGAAUCUGCUAGAUGAUGUUGUUUUAAGAUGCUAAAUUUGGGGGGUAAUUUGUUACGCCACAUGAUAUAAUUAAUGCAAAACCUAAUCUGUAGGAGCGUUUUAACUUAAAAGGGAAGAAAAGAUGAAAAUGAAUAAAGAGAAAUAUGUGAAGCCAACCAGCAUGUGGAUAAUUAUGUCCUGAUUGUUACAGAGUUCUAAGAGGGGGUGGGGGAGGAGGCUGUACAGAGGGAAAACAAGAGGCUUAUUUACGAAGCUUUCCAGAGGUUAUUUUAGAAGGAAAAGGAGCCCGAAGAAAGGCAAGACCCUUCGUAGGGUACUCUCCUUUGAGCAGAAAUCAAA